RNAcentral lists this ribosomal RNA (297 nucleotides) under uncultured bacterium. RNAcentral describes it as "partial 16S ribosomal RNA". It matches the Rfam family "Bacterial small subunit ribosomal RNA", at positions 505 to 805 of the family's 1533-position model. The record is from RNAcentral.
GUGCCAGCCGCCGCGGUAAUACGAAGGGGGCUAGCGUUGUUCGGAAUUACUGGGCGUAAAGCGCACGUAGGCGGACAUUUAAGUCAGGGGUGAAAUCCCGGAGCUCAACUCCGGAACUGCCUUUGAUACUGGGUGUCUCGAGUAUGGAAGAGGUAAGUGGAAUUGCGAGUGUAGAGGUGAAAUUCGUAGAUAUUCGCAGGAACACCAGUGGCGAAGGCGGCUUACUGGUCCAUUACUGACGCUGAGGUGCGAAAGCGUGGGGAGCAAACAGGAUUAGAAACCCGAGUAGUCCCGAAA